This 320-nucleotide ribosomal RNA is filed under the name uncultured bacterium. RNAcentral describes it as "bacterial SSU rRNA". It matches the Rfam family "Bacterial small subunit ribosomal RNA", at positions 143 to 507 of the family's 1533-position model. The record is from RNAcentral.
UUCCCGCCUGGAAGGAGGCGGUCUUACGCGAUUAUUAGCUUAGGUUGGGGUAGGGGUUAAGUCGGCCCUAACCGAAGGGCGAUGAUGUCGUAGGGGGGUGUGAGAGCAUCGGCCCCCACGACCGGAACUGAGAUACUGUCCGGACACCUACGGGUGGCUGCAGUCGAGAAUCUUCCGCAAUGGACGAAAGUCUGACGGAGCGACGCCGCGUGCGGGAUGAAGGCCCUUGGGUUGUAAACCGCUGUCAGAGGGGAUGAAAUCUUCGGAGGUACUCCUCCGAAGUUGACAGAGCCUCAAAGGAAGCACGGGCUAAGUACGUG